This 83-nucleotide transfer RNA is filed under the name Macleaya cordata. It matches the Rfam family "tRNA". From Rfam's summary of the family: Transfer RNA (tRNA) molecules are approximately 80 nucleotides in length. Their secondary structure includes four short double-helical elements and three loops (D, anti-codon, and T loops). Further hydrogen bonds mediate the characteristic L-shaped molecular structure. tRNAs have two regions of fundamental functional importance: the anti-codon, which is responsible for specific mRNA codon recognition, and the 3' end, to which the tRNAs corresponding amino acid is attached (by aminoacyl-tRNA synthetases). tRNAs cope with the degeneracy of the genetic code in two manners: having more than one tRNA (with a specific anti-codon) for a particular amino acid; and 'wobble' base-pairing, i.e. permitting non-standard base-pairing at the 3rd anti-codon position. Lineage: Eukaryota; Viridiplantae; Streptophyta; Magnoliopsida; Ranunculales; Papaveraceae. The record is from Rfam by way of RNAcentral.
GUCAGGAUGGCCGAGUGGUCUAAGGCGCCAGACUAAGUUCUGGUCCUCGAAAGAGGGCGUGGGUUCAAAUCCCACUUCUGACA